AACGAACGCUGGCGGCAUGCCUAACACAUGCAAGUCGAACGAACCCUUCGGGGUUAGUGGCGCACGGGUGCGUAACGCGUGGGAAUCUGCCCUUUGCUACGGAAUAACUCAGGGAAACUUGUGCUAAUACCGGAUGAUGUCUUCGGACCAAAGAUUUAUCGGCAAGGGAUGAGCCCGCGUAGGAUUAGGUAGUUGGUGUGGUAAAGGCCUACCAAGCCGACGAACCUUAGCUGGUCUGAGAGGAUGAUCAGCCACACUGGGACUGAGACACGGCCCAGACUCCUACGAGAGGCAGCAGUGGGGAAUAUUGGACAAUGGGCGCAAGCCUGAUCCAGCAAUGCCGCGUGAGUGAUGAAGGCCCUCGGGUCGGAAAGCUCUUUUACCAGGGAUGAUAAUGACAGUACCUGGAGAAUAAGCUCCGGCUAACUCCGUG
This 433-nucleotide ribosomal RNA is filed under the name uncultured bacterium. RNAcentral's name for it is "partial 16S ribosomal RNA". It matches the Rfam family "Bacterial small subunit ribosomal RNA", at positions 29 to 507 of the family's 1533-position model. The record is from RNAcentral.